AUUGAACGCUGGCGGCAGGCCUAACACAUGCAAGUCGAGCGGAUGAAGGGAGCUUGCUCCUGGAUUCAGCGGCGGACGGGUGAGUAAUGCCUAGGAAUCUGCCUGGUAGUGGGGGAUAACGUCCGGAAACGGGCGCUAAUACCGCAUACGUCCUGAGGGAGAAAGUGGGGGAUCUUCGGACCUCACGCUAUCAGAUGAGCCUAGGUCGGAUUAGCUAGUUGGUGGGGUAAAGGCCUACCAAGGCGACGAUCCGUAACUGGUCUGAGAGGAUGAUCAGUCACACUGGAACUGAGACACGGUCCAGACUCCUACGGGAGGCAGCAGUGGGGAAUAUUGGACAAUAGGCGAAAGCCUGAUCCAGCCAUGCCGCGUGUGUGAAGAAGGUCUUCGGAUUGUAAAGCACUUUAAGUUGGGAGGAAGGGCAGUAAGUUAAUACCUUGCUGGUUUGACGUUACCAACAGAAUAAGCACCGGCUAACUUCGUG
This 484-nucleotide ribosomal RNA is filed under the name uncultured bacterium. RNAcentral describes it as "partial 16S ribosomal RNA". It matches the Rfam family "Bacterial small subunit ribosomal RNA", at positions 30 to 507 of the family's 1533-position model. The record is from RNAcentral.